Molecule: vault RNA, 95 nt
Filed under: Helobdella robusta
Lineage: Eukaryota; Metazoa; Annelida; Clitellata; Rhynchobdellida; Glossiphoniidae
Rfam family: Vault RNA
About the family: This family of RNAs are found as part of the enigmatic vault ribonucleoprotein complex. The complex consists of a major vault protein (MVP), two minor vault proteins (VPARP and TEP1), and several small untranslated RNA molecules.
Source: Rfam by way of RNAcentral
GCACGGGCUUAGCCGGGCGGUUACUUCGCACAAAGAAUUUAAGUUCAUUAAUAAACCUUACUGCCCAUUGACCGUUGGCGCCAUCCAGUGCUUUU